CCUACGGGUGGCUGCAGUGGGGAAUAUUGGACAAUGGGCGAAAGCCUGAUCCAGCCGUGCCGCGUGUGUGAAGAAGGCCUUCGGGUUGUAAAGCACUUUCAGUGGGGAAGAAAGCCUUGGGGCUAAUACCCUCGAGGAAGGACAUCACCCACAGAAGAAGCACCGGCUAACUCCGUGCCAGCAGCCGCGGUAAUACGGAGGGUGCGAGCGUUAAUCGGAAUUACUGGGCGUAAAGCGCGCGUAGGCGGUCUGAUAAGCCGGUUGUGAAAGCCCCGGGCUCAACCUGGGAACGGCAUCCGGAACCGUCAGGCUAGAGGGCAGGGGAGGAAGGUAGAAUUCCCGGUGUAGCGGUGAAAUGGGGAGGGAUCGGGAGGGAUACCCGGGGCGAAGGGGGCCUUCUGGAAUGACACUGAAGCUGAGGUGCGAAAGCGUGGGUAGCAAACAGGAUUAGAUACCCUAGUAGUC
This 465-nucleotide ribosomal RNA is filed under the name Vreelandella stevensii. RNAcentral's name for it is "partial 16S ribosomal RNA". It matches the Rfam family "Bacterial small subunit ribosomal RNA", at positions 338 to 795 of the family's 1533-position model. The record is from RNAcentral. Lineage: Bacteria; Pseudomonadati; Pseudomonadota; Gammaproteobacteria; Oceanospirillales; Halomonadaceae.